Molecule: long non-coding RNA, 907 nt
Filed under: Olea europaea subsp. europaea
Lineage: Eukaryota; Viridiplantae; Streptophyta; Magnoliopsida; Lamiales; Oleaceae
Source: RNAcentral
GUUGUUUCAUUCUAAUAAGCCGUUUCCAUUUUAUAAUUAGGAUUUCUUAUGUUUCAAGAGAGAUGGAUACUUUGGUAACUUUAGGAUCUAAUAGUAACCUAAUUUGGUUUUCUGUGUAAUACUGCUAUUGCCAUGCUUGCCAUGAGGUGAGAACUACGCAUUGUUUCCGAUACAAUGCUGAGAGGAUUCUGUUGAACUUAUUGAAAUACCUUAGUAUCUUAGCUCGUUUGACGAUCUCAUGUGUGAAGUAAAAGUUGCUUUAAUGUAUUUGUACUUGUGGCCUCCAAUGUUAGGUAGAAUUAUCGGUUCGGUGCGCUAAUUCUCUUAGUAAUUACCUCCCUGGUGCACUACAUUGUUGAUGUUCCACGGAAAUUCUUUCUAUCAAUAUUUCCAUAUAUUUCUAAAGAUCAAUUAGUUAAUUAAACUGCUGAAUCGUGUAUUUUCAGGCACAUCCAUAAUAUGGAUGAUGUUCCAGUGGAAUUCACAUCAAACAGUCAAGAGUAAACAGUCAUAAAAGUGAACUGGAGCAUUGGCGACUGAUAUUCUUCCUUGAAGCAGAAGAGUGCAUCACUUUUCUUGCAAUCCUUUUGGUUUCUUGCUUCCAAUUGUACAAUGGUGCAUCAGUAAGCACUUACUAAUUUAGCUUAUAAAGAAUCUCAUUGUCUUGGAUUCAAGUUAACAACAUCAGCAUAUGAUAUGCAUGUAUCCAAAGUGCAUUAUUUUGCUUCUUAACUCUUUCCGUCUGAUUUCAAAGUUUGGUGAAUCAUAUAACAAUUCCUUUAUCUGCUGCGGUCAUUGUACAAUUGAAUUUUCAGAUAUAUCUCGAAUUUGAUCAACUUAUGGUUUUGCUUAUUUGAAAUUUGGACUUUGCAAAUGUUGGAAGUUAAAAAGGACCAAACAACGAUAU